GACGAACGCUGGCGGCGUGCUUAACACAUGCAAGUCGAACGGAAAGGCCCUGCUUUUGUGGGGUGCUCGAGUGGCGAACGGGUGAGUAACACGUGAGUAACCUGCCCUUGACUUUGGGAUAACUUCAGGAAACUGGGGCUAAUACCGGAUAGGAGCUCCUGCUCCAUGGUGGGGGUUGGAAAGUUUCGGCGGUUGGGGAUGGACUCGCGGCUUAUCCGCUUGUUUGUGGGGUAGUGGCUUACCAAGGCUUUGACGGGUAGCCGGCCUGAGAGGGUGGCCGGCCACAUUGGUACUAAGAGACGGCCCAGACUCCUACGGGAGGCAGCAGUGGGGAAUAUGGCACAAUGGGCGGAAGCGUGAUGCAGCAGCGCCGCGUGCGGGAUGACGGCCUUCGGGUGAUAAACCGCUUUCUCCGGUGACGAAGCGUGAGUGACGGUAAUGGGUAAAAAAGCACCGGCUAACUACGUG
Molecule: ribosomal RNA, 468 nt
Filed under: uncultured bacterium
Lineage: Bacteria
Description: partial 16S ribosomal RNA
Rfam family: Bacterial small subunit ribosomal RNA
Source: RNAcentral